RNAcentral lists this unclassified non-coding RNA (345 nucleotides) under soil metagenome. RNAcentral's name for it is "partial contains 5.8S ribosomal RNA, internal transcribed spacer 2, and large subunit ribosomal RNA". The stretch from base 1 to 120 matches the Rfam family "5.8S ribosomal RNA", at positions 35 to 154 of the family's 154-position model. The record is from RNAcentral.
GAUGAAGAACGUAGCGAAAUGCGAUACGUAAUGUGAAUUGCAGAAUUCAGUGAAUCAUCGAGUCUUUGAACGCACAUUGCGCCCCCUGGUAUUCCGGGGGGCAUGCCUGUCCGAGCGUCAUUGCUGCCCUCAAGCACGGCUUGUGUGUUGGGCCUCCGUCCUCCUCCCGGGGGACGGGCCCGAAAGGCAGCGGCGGCACCGCGUCCGGUCCUCGAGCGUAUGGGGCUUCGUCACCCGCUCUUGUAGGCCCGGCCGGCGCUUGCCGACACAUCAAUCUUUUUUCCAGGUUGACCUCGAAUCAGGUAGGACUACCCGCUGAACUUAAGCAUAUCAAUAAGCGGAGGA